CUAAAUUAUCAUACAAUCAGAUUAAGUUGGUGGAACUAAAACAGGGCGCAUUACCUCAAACAGCCAGCAUUUACAAGAACCAAAUUGAUUUUUUUUUCUUACAAAAGUCAGGCAACUUCCAAAUUAAGUCACUUUUUACCAUAUACCCUGGAGAAUAACAUGGCCCGACACACCACACGUCCCACUUAUCUAGUUCAAGCGAGUAACAUAACGUGAGAAACUGCACUGUGUAAUUCCUUUAUUUUCUGCAUAUUAGUGCUUUACCAACACUACAACCAUAAAGAACACAAUUCCAAGUACUGUACUUUUUAGUUUGGGGAGAUCACAGUCUACAGACUCAUUUACUUAUAUUAAACAAGAUUAACCUCAUUCAAAACUUACUGCAGUUUAUAAAUUCACAUAAAUACAGAAAUGGUACAUUUAAGAUUUAACAUGAGGGUUUCAAGUUUCCUCCAGUUUAGGCAUUUAUACCUUUGUGCUUGUUUUGUUUCAGGAUGUUACUAUAGCAUUGAUAUUGGAUAACCCAUAUUUAUAUACUUUAAAAUGCAAUCAUUUGAAACACUAAAAAUUACAUUUAUGGUGGAGCUUUGGAAAUUUUAGAAAGCAACCAGUGUUCUUAGAUGUGUUUAUCAGCCUCAUUUCUAGAGCUCUUUCUACUAAAGUGAAACUGAGAACUUCGUACUUUAGUUGUAUCCUGAAAUCAAAAAAAUCCCUCUGCACCAACAGGAGCCUACAUGAGAAUACCCUUUUGCAUCUGCUUUAAGUAAAAUGUUUGUUAAGAGUUUUACUUUGAAUAGUUCAUUUUUUUAUAGUCUUACACUUCUCAUACAUCUUUGGUAAAAGCUCCAUUAUACAAUAUGGCCAAAGUGUGAAGGACCAAUACUGUCCAACUAUACCAUGAUAUCCCGCUCAAUUUUAGUUUUCAGACACCCUCAUAAACAAAACCCACUCCACCUUUUCCUGUAUACUGCCUUUGCAGUCUACAUUUCUGAAAUUCCCUAUUUAAUUCCUUGAGGAUCACUAAAAUUAAUCCUUAAGGCUAUAUAGGAACCAGAUGCUGCUUUACAAUUCUGCAUCAAGCAUUAACAUUUGGUUCAAAAUAUUAUCAUAGUGGUCGCAAUCCAGUUACUGGUCCUAACCAGCUAACCAAGUAAUCUUGUUAGGAUCUGGAUAUCACCAGCGAGCACACUGCUUACACAUGAAGAAAAAUAAGUUUACAUUCAUUGUCAUCUGUAGGUUCUUUCUCUUCAUCCUACGUCCCCUUUAAUAGUCAUCCCUCAAGUCUACACAUCAUUCAUUCAUCACGCUUCCUUCCUUAAAGGAGACAGUGUACUAUUGAACCAACAGGAUAUCUUUUUUAUUAUUUGCAUGAGUUAAUCCUACAAACAAAAUUAAAUACCUCUUUUAUAAAACAUCUUUUCCAGUGUUCUAAUUGAUGGAGAUGCGGAUCACUCAUCUAUAAAAAAUGACUUACAGCUUCAGCUUAAUCAGUUGCUAUAAUGUGAAAACAGGAAUGUGUAUUUUUUUCAACUAGGUAAAAGGUGCAUAUAAUUUGAAUUGUUAAAUGUUUUAUUAAUGAACAAAGUAAACCUUUUAGUAAUUUUUAAAUUACUGGUCUUAGGUGUUUGAAACAAGGUAAAAGUAUACAUAGGAAAAUGAAAGAUUCUCUCGAAAUAAAA
RNAcentral lists this long non-coding RNA (1679 nucleotides) under Homo sapiens (human). Its description in RNAcentral is "HSALNT0210661". Lineage: Eukaryota; Metazoa; Chordata; Mammalia; Primates; Hominidae. The record is from RNAcentral.